UAUUUAAUUAUUCUCACUUUCUCGUGGCAUUUUUGUAUUCUCAAUUUCUCACUAUCAAACAUAGAAAUAUUAGACAAUAUGACAUGCAACGAUUUAGGGGUGUUCACAAGUGUCGUAAAUUUUGAGGCUAUUGAAAUAUGACAUAAGACAAAAGACAAGGCUUGUGAAUUGCCGAAAUAAUUUAUAUCGGAACACACUGACUUUCACAGUUCUUCAAGAGUUCUAAGGCGAUUUGCUUCUUCAGAUUUAAGUGCUUGAAACCCUUUUCAUUGAACAAACAAAAACCAUAAUUCAAGGAAAAAAAUUAUCAAACUAUACAGUCAAGGCGAAUUUAUAGAAGCCGAAGUUGUCACAUCAUAAAAUUGCUUGUUCUUCCUUCCAUUUCAACAAAUCACGCAAAUAAAAUACACGAGAAACAUUGCACUAACAAAAUGCAUUAAACGCACCACACCAACAAAAUGCUUUUGGAUUUUUGUUUUUGUAUUAUUGCUACUACCGUGUGUGAAUUUGCUUGACGACAUCUUUUUGCUCUUAUACCCACACAUAUACAAUAUUUUCAUUCUAAUUGUUUUUUUUUUAUAGUACUGCUUUUCCGACAAUUUAAUUUGAAAGAAAUUACUUUAUUUAUUUAAAAAAAAAAUUUGAAAACCCUCGGAAUUUGAGGUUUCAAAGAUUUUAACAAAACGAUUUGAUAGCAGGAACGCCUCAUGUUUGGCAUCACUAAUGCAAAAAAAUUCGCUUUAUUUCAAUUUUCCUCGAGAGUUUCUCACAUAGAAGUUGUGUGUGAGUUUGUAUUAAAGAAAUGUUGAAAUUACUCGCUGUUGCAGUUGCUAGUAGAGGCAAUGGAAACUCAACCAGCUAUAGCUCGAGGAUUUUUUAAGAGUAAAAAGGAGGAGUUCAACCAAUUUUGGGUGAAGGUUAAUAUCGAAAUAAAUACCGUGGAACCGCCAAUACAAAAAAUAUUUUGAAAUGCAAGAAGAAAUACGUGUGGCUCAAAACUUAAAGGUCAGAUAACACGACAGGAGGUGGCUUCAAUGCAUAGCAUAAAUUGUCCCCUCCCGAAGGGAUGAAAGAGUCGGUGGAAUAGUUGCCUCGAGAGGAAGUUUGGAUUGCAGAAGCAGAAGACCUUGCCAAACGACGUGGAUAUUUGCUCUGGUCUAGAAUUUAACUACGUUGAAGAAGAAUUCCUUGCCAUUUCGUCACAUUUGCUUCAGCGGCCUAUAGAUAUAGUACCACAGUAUCCAUAAUUGUUUGUUUCACCAAAUUAUCAAAUGUCAACAAUACACAGCUGAUUACGAAAGAGAAAAAUCAUACUCCCAAAAAAUCA
Ceratitis capitata (Mediterranean fruit fly) is the source of this 1327-nucleotide long non-coding RNA. RefSeq lists it as uncharacterized. The record is from RefSeq and is a predicted model, not a curated record. NCBI's taxonomy places the organism in Eukaryota, Metazoa, Arthropoda, Insecta, Diptera, Tephritidae. The transcript has 5 exons.